RNAcentral lists this ribosomal RNA (464 nucleotides) under Theileria ovis. Its description in RNAcentral is "SSU rRNA". It matches the Rfam family "Eukaryotic small subunit ribosomal RNA", at positions 521 to 1018 of the family's 1831-position model. The record is from RNAcentral. Lineage: Eukaryota; Apicomplexa; Aconoidasida; Piroplasmida; Theileriidae.
UGACUUAAACCCUCACCAGAGUACCAAUUGGAGGGCAAGUCUGGUGCCAGCAGCCGCGGUAAUUCCAGCUCCAAUAGCGUAUAUUAAACUUGUUGCAGUUAAAAAGCUCGUAGUUGAAUUUCUGCUGCAUUGCUUUUGCUCCUUUACGAGUCUUUGCAUUGUGGCUUAUUUCGGACUUUGUUUUACAAUGUCCGGAUGUUUACUUUGAGAAAAUUAGAGUGCUCAAAGCAGGCUUUCGCCUUGAAUAGUUUAGCAUGGAAUAAUAAAGUAGGACUUUGGUUCUAUUUUGUUGGUUUUAGGUACCAAAGUAAUGGUUAAUAGGAACAGUUGGGGGCAUUCGUAUUUAACUGUCAGAGGUGAAAUUCUUAGAUUUGUUAAAGACGAACUACUGCGAAAGCAUUUGCCAAGGAUGUUUUCAUUAAUCAAGAACGAAAGUUAGGGGAUCGAAGACGAUCAGAUACCGU